RNAcentral lists this ribosomal RNA (465 nucleotides) under Vreelandella stevensii. RNAcentral describes it as "partial 16S ribosomal RNA". It matches the Rfam family "Bacterial small subunit ribosomal RNA", at positions 338 to 795 of the family's 1533-position model. The record is from RNAcentral. Lineage: Bacteria; Pseudomonadati; Pseudomonadota; Gammaproteobacteria; Oceanospirillales; Halomonadaceae.
CCUACGGGUGGCUGCAGUGGGGAAUAUUGGACAAUGGGCGAAAGCCUGAUCCAGCCAUGCCGCGUGUGUGAAGAAGGCCUUCGGGUUGUAAAGCACUUUCAGUGGGGAAGAAAGCCUUGGGGCUAAUACCCUCGAGGAAGGACAUCACCCACAAAAGAAGCACCGGCUAACUCCGUGCCAGCAGCCGCGGUAAUACGGAGGGUGCGAGCGUUAAUCGGAAUUACUGGGCGUAAAGCGCGCGUAGGCGGUCUGAUAAGCCGGUUGUGAAAGCCCCGGGCUCAACCUGGGAACGGCAUCCGGAACUGUCAGGCUAGAGUGCAGGAGAGGAAGGUAGAAUUCCCGGUGUAGCGGUGAAAUGCGUAGAGAUCGGGAGGAAUACCAGUGGCGAAGGCGGCCUUCUGGACUGACACUGACGCUGAGGUGCGAAAGCGUGGGUAGCAAACAGGAUUAGAUACCCUGGUAGUC